Molecule: unclassified non-coding RNA, 328 nt
Filed under: soil metagenome
Description: partial contains 5.8S ribosomal RNA, internal transcribed spacer 2, and large subunit ribosomal RNA
Rfam family: 5.8S ribosomal RNA (bases 1-120)
Source: RNAcentral
GAUGAAGAACGCAGCGAAAUGCGAUAGGUAAUGUGAAUUGCAGAAUUCAGUGAAUCAUCGAAUCUUUGAACGCACAUUGCGCCCCUUGGUAUUCCGAGGGGCAUGCCUGUUCGAGCGUCAUUAUAACCCCUCAAGCUCAGCUUGGUGUUGGGGCCUGCCGCACGGGCAGCCCUUAAAAUCAGUGGCGGUGCCAUCUGGCUCUAAGCGUAGUAAUUCUUCUCGCUAUAGAGUCCCGGUGGAUGCUUGCCAUUAACCCCCAAUUUUCUAUGGUUGACCUCGGAUCAGGUAGGGAUACCCGCUGAACUUAAGCAUAUCAAUAAGCGGAGGA